ACACCCUCAAGCUCUGCUUGGUGUUGGGCGUCUGUCCCGCCUUCGCGCGCGGACUCGCCUCAAAGUCAUUGGCAGCGGCCUCGCCGGCUCCUCGCGCAGCACAUUUGCGCUUCUCGGAGCUCCCGGCGGGCCCGCGUCCAACAAGAAAACAUUACCGU
RNAcentral lists this unclassified non-coding RNA (158 nucleotides) under uncultured Periconia. RNAcentral describes it as "sequence contains ITS2". Lineage: Eukaryota; Fungi; Ascomycota; Sordariomycetes; Microascales; Halosphaeriaceae. The record is from RNAcentral.